Long non-coding RNA from Chelonoidis abingdonii (Abingdon island giant tortoise), 2470 nucleotides. RefSeq lists it as uncharacterized. Lineage: Eukaryota; Metazoa; Chordata; Testudines; Testudinidae. The record is from RefSeq and is a predicted model, not a curated record.
AGAGAAGAUAAAUUACAAAAAAAAAAAAGUAAAACCAAAAACAAAAUACUAACAAAAAAAAAAUUGUCCUGUAAUAACUCCGAGGGAGCACCAACCCACCUCAACCAACCUCCACAAACCUGACGAGCUCAGCAACUUCUCCGACUGGCCACCCAUCCUGAUGUUUCCUACUUUAUCCACCAUAUAAACAACUUUUACCAGUAAAUAUCGGUUUAUUCCUGAAAUCAGAAGCCCUAAACAUACCUUUGUUUAUAAGCCUGUGUGGUUCUGAUUGCUGGCAGUUCUGUAGUACAGCAGCUUUAAUCUGAGCAAUUGAGACUGGUCCUACGUUAUCUUCAGACGGCUUGAGGAGGACUUCUGUUCCCAGUUUGGUACUCAAAUACUCCAUCCCACCUUGAGAAGUCACUUACUUUAAAAGCCAGUGAUAGAUUAUUCUCUUUAGCACUAAUGGAAAAUUAUAUUGCAAAGCAGCUUUAUUAUGAACCUUUCGUAUAUUCAUAAUUCCCGUGCAAUCCCAAAUUGGAGAAAAGAGCCUAUUAAAAGUAUAUAUUACUCUAGAUUUUUCUUACUGUAAAUAUUGUAAUUUUAUAAUCCUGUGAAUAUUUUAUUAAUUUACAAAUAUUUAACAAAGUUUAAUCUGUGUGAGUUCAGAUUUAUUUAAUGGUGUUCCACUUCUGUGGUUCCUGUUGCAGUCAGUAUUGCAUUAUAUUUUAUGUAAGAUAACUUUUUUUUAUUGACGUUAAACAUUGAUUUAAAUGCCUCUUUCUGGGAGAACAAAGUAUAGAGGUGAUUCUCUUCCUUAAAAUGUAACACUUAUGUUCUUCAGUCCCAGUGCUAAAGUAAUUUAAUGAAAUAUUACAGUUACAAAUUUUCAAAGCUAAUGCAGCUAAACAACUGCACUUGGAACUUGUCAUUUUAAAACUUGAGUAUACUUGAAUGUAGAUGGCUUUUAUCAGCCAGUUUUCAGUGAACAAGAAUCUCUGCAAUAUCUAAUGUAUUGAAAAGCUAAAUUCUUUAUAAUGAGUAAAGGAACGCUGUACAAUCAGUGUUAAGUUUUUGUAAAAACAAGCAUUUGCAAAGGCCAUGUUCAAUAAAAAUUUUUUUUUUUUUUUUAAAUUCUAGUGAAAACAUUUUUUUUUUUUUUUUUUUUUUGGCUGUAUGCAUUCCCCCUAGUGUUUGCAUCCCAAAGAUUGCAACUUUGUGGUAAUGUGUGUAAGCCCGAAAGCAACUAGAAAUUGACUAGUUGCAGAACAUGAAAUCUUUUUCAUUGUCCAAAUUAAAGGCUCAAGCCUGUGCCCUUUAAAGUCAGUGGCAAAGCUUUCACAGAAACAGGAUCAGGUCCUGAGUGAUCGCUUUCCUCAUCUCCCUCAGCACUGAUGGGGAAAAUAAAUUAGAUUUUCUAAAAUUCUUUGUUUUAUUAACCUAAGGUUCUCUAAAGACAUUUUCUUUUUUAAAAUUAAUUUUUAACCUGAUUUUAACCCUUUAACAAUUCAAUUUUAAGAUGUUCAUGUUCUCUGCAGAAUUAUCAAAAGCGAAGUAUUUUUUCCUUUUAGAGGCCAGGGAGGAUUGAUCUCUAAUGUAUUCGCAAGAUGACUCUCCUUCAAGGAUCCAAAAUAUCUCAGAGGUUUUUGUGGCAGGUGAUACUUUUGGGUUUACAAGUUAAUCUUUAUUAGAGAUGUGCCAAUAUAUGCUGCUUAUUGUAGUGUUGUUAUAUUUAGGCAUUUUAGCUAACUUACAAAUAUAUACUGUAACAGUAUACUUUGUACAGACUUAAGUUAAAAUUUAUUUAAAGAUUGAAAUAAAGUAGGCAAAAAAUAAAGAUGUUUAUUUUUCAUUAGACUAAGCAGCUAUCAUUCUUUUGUUUUUAGUGUACUUGGACACCAAACAAUCUCAGAACGAUAAAAUAUUUUAGUUGAUAGGCCACAUUGCAGAAACUCUGUGGAUAUGUGUAUGUGUAUCUGUAUUGUAUCUUGAUAACUGUUAACUCUAGAAUGCAAAUAAUGAAAUCAUACUCAUUUUACCAUUCAAAAGAGAAGUGUUUCACAGUUUGACUGUUUUAUCUGUUUUAUGACAAAAAGGCAUUUAUUUUUUGAAAGUUGUUUAUGAAGGGCCUGCCAUCUGGCUUCUCAAGUCAAUUUUUAAAAUUCCAGAGUGGGGGUGAUUACUUGUUUAGCCUUCACUGACAGACCAAAGUCAGCUUUGACAUCAUAUUGGGGUGCUGCUCAAAUUUAUGUUUUAUGUCCUUUAAGUCAAAAAACAAAACAAGAAAAAUCAAGAUGUUAACUUCACUAUAAAACAAAUUCCUCACUGUACAGUAGAAUGGAUAUCUCUAAUCAAUCUGUUGUCAUUAAUAAUAGAUUCUUAUUUUUUUGAAUUACUUAUCUAUUUAAAAGAACAGCAAACAUUGUAUUUGCUAGUAAAUAUAAAGUGUUUACAUGUAAUUACUUAAUAAAUUAUUUGAUUUAAGAUG